RNAcentral lists this ribosomal RNA (1313 nucleotides) under Pseudodinemasporium fabiforme. RNAcentral's name for it is "eukaryotic LSU rRNA". It matches the Rfam family "Eukaryotic large subunit ribosomal RNA", at positions 51 to 1407 of the family's 3401-position model. Lineage: Eukaryota; Fungi; Ascomycota; Sordariomycetes; Chaetosphaeriales; Chaetosphaeriaceae. The record is from RNAcentral.
AUGAGUAGGAGACACGGGAUGCCUCGUACGGCGAGUGAAGCGGCAACAGCUCAAAUUUGAAAUCUGGCUCACGCCCGAGUUGUAAUUUGCAGAGGAUGCUUCGGGCGCGGCGCUUUCCAAGUCCCCUGGAACGGGGCGCCACAGAGGGUGAGAGCCCCGUCUGGUUGGCCGCCAAGCCUGUGUGAAGCUCCUUCGACGAGUCGAGUAGUUUGGGAAUGCUGCUCUAAAUGGGAGGUAGACCCCUUCUAAAGCUAAAUACCGGCCAGAGACCGAUAGCGCACAAGUAGAGUGAUCGAAAGAUGAAAAGCACUUUGAAAAGAGGGUUAAAAAGUACGUGAAAUUGUUGAAAGGGAAGCGCUUGUGACCAGACGUGUGCCGGGCGUUCAGCGGGCGUUCUCGCCCGUGUAUUCGCCCCGGUGCAGGCCAGCGUCGGUUCGCGCGGGGGGAUAAAGGCGUCAGGAACGUAGCUCUUUCGGGAGUGUUAUAGCCUGGCGCGCCAUGCCCCCGCCUGGACCGAGGUUCGCGCUCCGCAAGGACGCUGGCGUAAUGGUCUCCAGCGGCCCGUCUUGAAACACGGACCAAGGAGUCGAGGUUUUGCGCGAGUGUCUGGGUGUCAAACCCGCACGCGUAAUGAAAGUGAACGCAGGUGGGAGCUUCGGCGCACCACCGACCGAUCCUGAUGUUCUCGGAUGGAUUUGAGUACGAGCGUAGGGCCUCGGACCCGAAAGAUGGUGAACUAUACUUGGAUAGGGUGAAGCCAGAGGAAACUCUGGUGGAGGCUCGCAGCGGUUCUGACGUGCAAAUCGAUCGUCAAAUCUGAGUAUGGGGGCGAAAGACUAAUCGAACCAUCUAGUAGCUGGUUACCGCCGAAGUUUCCCUCAGGAUAGCAGUGUUGAUCUCAGUUUUAUGAGGUAAAGCGAAUGAUUAGGGACUCGGGGGCGCUAUUUAGCCUUCAUCCAUUCUCAAACUUUAAAUAUGUAAGAAGCCCUUGUUGCUUAAUUGAACGUGGGCAUUCGAAUGCAGCAACACUAGUGGGCCAUUUUUGGUAAGCAGAACUGGCGAUGUGGGAUGAACCAUACGGGGGGUUAAGGUGCCGGAGUGGACGCUCAUCAGACACCACAAAAGGCGUUAGCACAUCUUGACAGCAGGACGGUGGCCAUGGAAGUCGGAAUCCGCUAAGGACUGUGUAACAACUCACCUGCCGAAUGUGCUAGCCCUGAAAAUGGAUGGCGCUCAAGCGUCCCACCCAUACCCCCCCCUCAGGGUAGAAACGAUGCCCUGAGGAGUAGGCGGCCGCAGCGCUGAGUGACGAA